GACAGAGGUCCCAAGCGUUAGGCGGAAUCACUGGGCUUAAAGCGUGUGUAGGCGGACUUCUAAGUACCUUGUGAAAUCCCACGGCUCAACCGUGGAACUGCUUGGUAUACUGGUUGUCUUGGGCCAUCUAGGGGGCUAGCGGAACAAACGGUGGAGCGGUGAAAUGCGUAGAUAUCGUUUGGAACGCCAAUGGUGAAAACAGCUAGCUGGGGAUGUGCCGACGCUGAGACACGAAAGCCAGGGGGAGCGAACGGG
Molecule: ribosomal RNA, 255 nt
Filed under: uncultured bacterium
Lineage: Bacteria
Description: partial 16S ribosomal RNA
Rfam family: Bacterial small subunit ribosomal RNA
Source: RNAcentral